Molecule: ribosomal RNA, 346 nt
Filed under: uncultured bacterium
Lineage: Bacteria
Description: partial 16S ribosomal RNA
Rfam family: Bacterial small subunit ribosomal RNA
Source: RNAcentral
CCUACGGGUGGCAGCAGUGAGGAAUAUUGGUCAAUGGGCGGGAGCCUGAACCAGCCAAGUCGCGUGAAGGAAGAAGGUACUGAGUAUUGUAAACUUCUUUUGUCGGGGAACAAAGGCGGAGACGCGUGUACGGAUGAGUGUACCCGAAGAAAAAGCAUCGGCUAACUCCGUGCCAGCAGCCGCGGUAAUACGGAGGAUGCGAGCGUUAUCCGGAUUGAUUGGGGUUAAAGGGUGCGCAGGCGGGAGAUCAAGUCAGCGGUAAAAGGUCGGCGCUCAACCCCGGCCGGCCGUUGAAACUGGUUUUCUAGAUUUGGAGCGACUUAUGCGGAAUUCGUGGUGUAGCGGU